AAACCCAAAGCUUUUUUUCCCAUAAAAACUGACCAAAAAAUAUAAAACAUUUAUUAAUAAAAAAAAUAAAAAGAAAUAAAUUGGGUCUGAACCCUUCUUUCUCUUUCAUAAAAAAACCCUAAUAAUAUUCUCGCCUCUUCCUCUGCCUCUCUUCCUCUCGCCUCUGCAAUCUCUUCCUCUCGCCUCUUCUUCCUUUCUCUUGGCAGAUGUUGCUGCCCAACUUCCUCUGGCGACAAGCGCCUGAGACUUUGCGGAUUUAGGGCGUAGAGGAUGGAUUACAGGCACAAAUAAUGGUUACAGCAUAUAAUUUAAUUGGAAAAAGUUGUGAGCUCCUCCUUUGUAAUACAAAUCCAAUGGUACCUUCCAUAAUGGAAAGAGGAGCGCCUUUUUGUGACCAAAUUUUUUAAACAAUUUAUGGAUGUUUAAUGUAAUUUUUUGUAACAAUCAAGUAUUCUCCUCAAACUCCAUUCUUUUUCCUAGCUCCUGGAUUCGUUGGGGGAUGGUGGAGUCCAUAUUUGUUCACAGCUACAAUAGCCUCAACAAAAUAUUUCUUUAAUCAUGUUUUAAGGAAAAAUACUUUAACAAAAGCUUGCAGAAACAUCUCUCGCCAUUAUGAUCGAUAGCUUCUCCUUUGUCCAAUCGCUCAAGGUCUCCCUUCGUGUCCCUCGCCUCCCUCAGUAUAUUUUUUUUCGAGCUAUAAAUCUCUCCCUCUGUCUUUGAUUUUUUCAGGAGGACUAUGUUUGAAGGUCGUCGUGGAUCUCGCUAUUCAAAGUCGUCUGUGGUUUACGGUGGCAGAGUUCAUUGAUCUCGUCUUUCGAAUGCUGACAGCUCUAGGUUCUUGGUCUAAGGUGGCGGGUUUCGUGGAUCUCAACAUUCGAACGCUGGUGAUUUUAGGCUCAUCGUCUAUGGUGGCUGUAGGGUUCUGCUUGUAAUUUCUUUUUUCAAAUUUCAAUUUUAUUUCUGGAUGUGUUCAUAGCUAUUUUUUACUUUGUUUUUAAUUAUCCUAAAUUUUUAGUGUUGUAUUGAACAAUACUUGUUAUAUUGAUUUAAAAUAAUAUUUUUUUUUUGUUCAA
Molecule: long non-coding RNA, 1073 nt
Organism: Cannabis sativa
Lineage: Eukaryota; Viridiplantae; Streptophyta; Magnoliopsida; Rosales; Cannabaceae
Exons: 3
Source: RefSeq, a predicted model, not a curated record